ACACUCCUACGGGAGGCAGCAGUAGGGAAUCUUCCACAAUGGGUGCAAACCUGAUGGAGCAAUGCCGCGUGAGUGAAGAAGGUCUUCGGAUCGUAAAGCUCUGUUGUUAGAGAAGAACACGUGCUAGGUAACUACUAGCGCCUUGACGGUAUCUAACCAGAAAGUCACGGCUAACUACGUGCCAGCAGCCGCGGUAAUACGUAGGUGACAAGCGUUGUCCGGAUUUAUUGGGCGUAAAGGGAGCGCAGGCGGUCUGUUUAGUCUAAUGUGAAAGCCCACGGCUUAACCGUGGAACGGCAUUGGAAACUGACAGACUUGAAUGUAGAAGAGGAAAAUGGAAUUCCAAGUGUAGCGGUGGAAUGCGUAGAUAUUUGGAGGAACACCAGUGGCGAAGGCGAUUUUCUGGUCUAACAUUGACGCUGAGGCUCGAAAGCGUGGGGAGCGAACAGGAUUAGAUACCCUGGUAGUCCCAUG
This 474-nucleotide ribosomal RNA is filed under the name uncultured organism. Its description in RNAcentral is "partial 16S ribosomal RNA". It matches the Rfam family "Bacterial small subunit ribosomal RNA", at positions 333 to 799 of the family's 1533-position model. The record is from RNAcentral.